Molecule: long non-coding RNA, 4203 nt
Organism: Oncorhynchus kisutch (coho salmon)
Lineage: Eukaryota; Metazoa; Chordata; Actinopteri; Salmoniformes; Salmonidae
Exons: 7
Source: RefSeq, a predicted model, not a curated record
CUCAGACUGCGCAUGCCAAUAACGAUGAAGCAGGAAGUCAUCUUUCUCUGUGGAAGAACAACGAAGGAGGACGCAUGGAGGUUGUAUGCGCUCGCACCAAUAUUAUUAUUAUGAGCAACAACUUGUUGAGUUCCCCGUUCAGGCAACAGUGUUCAUGGACUUGAAGGGUGUUGAAGGAUCCAGACACGGAUGCAUCCUUUGUUGUACUGGAGUUUUUCUUUUCUUUUUUUUCCACUUCUGGCUAUGCCAGUAGUGUACUGAGAUUUGAUUGGCAGGCAGGCUACUGAAGACGCUAUAAGAGAUCUACACCAGGGGUGUCACUCAUUCCAUAGAGAGCCUAGUGUCUGUGGGUUUUGGGUUUUCCUUUCAGUUAAGGCUUAGACAACCAGGUGAUGGAGUGACCUUAACUCGUCAAUCAAGUACAGGGAGCAGCGAAAACCUGCAUACACUCUGCCCUUCGUGCAAUGAGUUUGACAUGCAAUCUACAUCUUGUUUUUGAGUUAAUGGGCCAGGAUGUAUAUUGAAGACUGAUGUAGAUAUUGCCCUGUGAUUGGGUUUGAUGAUCCAGUAUGUGGAAUAUGAAGACUUAAAUCUCAACCCUAUGGUGAGUUUGAGGGCUAAAUAGCCAAUUGGUUUCCUUCAGUCUUCUACUGGAGUUGUGAUGACUUCUCACUUUUCCUGUUUACUGAUCUGACUAAAUUGGGAUGCUGUGACUAACUGAACUGCCAAUAUUAGCAUUGAUCAUUAUAGGUAGACGCAGCGAUAUGGUAUAGAUGCAGCGAGUAAAGGGGAUAGUGGGUCAAUUCACAACUGAGUGUUGAAGCGUGAGCAUCUUGCUUAGCUCAAUAUGUGCGGUGCACCUCGUGGCAGGGGCAUUUUUGCAGGGUCUACCUUCAAUCAUUAAACCUGCAAUCCCUGACUAAGGUUUGAGACUCUUAUUUCAUCAUGCAGGAUUGUUAAGCCUGCAGUAGGGGAGUUAUUUCCUGGGUUGAGGUGUCAACUAAGAUUUUUCUACCCGUGUUGAUUCAUUUUAAAUGGAAUUGAUGCCCUUUCUGCUAAUUUACCCUGCUGAAAAGCAAUUCAUUUGAAUUACCAGCAUUGUAACUAAACCCACAAUGGUAGAAAGUUGUAGGUUGAUGGCUAAUCUCAUUAGACAAUGGUCAUUUAUUUAACUGAUUUCUUCUAUUCAUUGACAAUUCACAAGGUUUGGAAAGCGGUGCAUGAACUCCGUACAAGACUAUCACCCUAUUUUCAACAUUCUUGCCUGUCAAAAAAGCACAACCUUGGUCUGACUCCCCUGCUUAAGGUUAAAUGUUUGUUUUAUUCUGCCCUGUUAUGAAAUAAAAUAUUUUAUGGUACAUUAAUCGCAAUAUAUUUCUGCCUACAUUGAAAAAUAUGAAUGUUACAGUUCAUGUAUUAAGACCCUAAUCAAUGGAUUUCAAUUGACUGCAGGUACGUAGCCAUGGGUUGGCCUGGGAGGGAGUAGGCCCACCCAGAAUUAGUUUGAUCACCUGUCUGGGUGGCUUAUCGCAGGUGAGGCCGGUCGGAUGUACUGCCAAAUUCUCAUUCAAUACUCUGGUGGACAUUCCUGCAGUCAGCAUGCCAAUUCCACUCUCCCUCAACCUGAUAUGUGGCUACAGCAAUCAUGCUCUUUAAUCAGCUACUUGGUAUGACACACCUGUCAGGUGGAUGGAUUAUCUUGGCAGAGGAGAAAUGCUCAAUGUGACACGCUUUGUGCAUAUGGAACAUUUCUGGGAUCAAUACGUUGCGUUUAUUCUUCUGAGUAGCUCAUUUCACCAUUGAAAUUCAAUAUAGAAAAAUCCUUUAACUUAGCUGUGGUCCUAUUCCUCCUCUGUGAUGUAGCUGGCGGCCCCGGGUGCGUAGGCGUAGACAAAGUGCAGGAUGCUCUGUUGGAGCUGCUCCAGGAUAAGGUCUCUCCUGUGGAGAGCUUCCAGGUCACACAGGUCACAGGGAAAUGCUGCGUCGGGUGGGAUAACGAGCGCUGAGGCUCCUGUAGGUAGAGGGAGCAGUCCCCAGACCAACUAUCAGGGAAAAUCUAGACUGCAGUCCACACUGACUGCUAUUACUAGAGCAAAGAAGAUCAUGGCCAGGAUACUCUUGCCUGUAGCUAUACCUGCAUGUGACUGAUAAAUGUGAUUUGACUAUAGCUGACCCCUGUAGAAAUCCCCACUCACUGACAUUAAAGCAAGACCUAGGCAUGGCUGCAGGAUUCUUCACCAUGCUCUGCUGAUGUAUUUUUCUCCCCAUAUACAGGAGUAUUAAAGACUGCACUAGUUUGGGGGGGCAGGGGCUGCAGCACGGCUAUGGACCUAGGGGUGUGGCACCCUAGACAAAAGAAAGGUUGGACUGCGACAUCACUAGAAAUGGUGCCGAGUCUGGAGGGGUUUGUUCUUGGACUGUUAAUUAGCCACGAUGUGUGAUUUCAACAUGGCAGCAAAUGGGAUCUAUGAGUUUGGUUGCUGACUUGGCCUUCGGUCCUGUUGUGUCAUACCAUGUCUGAGAGUGAUGGCGUUUUCACACAGCAGCACAGCGAUCACUGCAUCCUCCUCCAGCACUGUGCUUCUCAGACACAGCUUACUGUGGGCCUCAGCCAGGGAGAUCCUGGAAGAAACAUGCCAAUAAAGACCAUUAGAAGUAAACAAAUGUCUAGUUUUUAGCUAAGCAGAAUUUACUGUGAGUAAUGGUACAGUUACUAACUGGCAAUGAAAUGCACCAUGUAGGAACAGACCAUCAGAUCUGGAAAAACCUGUCUUAGUGAUAAGCCAUUUGUAUAUCUAUAUAGUGCCACUGAUGAAAUUGGGCAAAAAUAAACCCAAUCUGAUGCCUACACAAAAAAGUCUAGACUCGGGCACCCAUCUAUUGGUUCUGUAAAAAAAAAAAAAAAAAUCACCUUUAUUUAACCAGGUGAACAAGUUCUCAUUUACAAUUGCGACCUGGCCAAGAUAAAGCAAAGCAGUUCGACAGAGUUACACAUGGAGUAAAAGUCAAUAAUACAGUAUAAACAAGUCUAUAUACGAUGUGAGAAGGCAAAAAAAGGCCAUGGUGGCAAAGAAAAUACAAUAUAGCAAGUAAAACACUGGAAUGGUAGAUUUGCAAUGGAAGAAUGUGCAAAGUAGAAAUAAAAAUAAUGGGGUGCAAAGGAGCAAAAUAAAUUAAAUACAGUAGGGAAAGAGGUAGUUGUUUGGGCUAAAUUAUAGAUGGGCUAUGUACAGGUGCAGUAAUCUGUGAGCUGCUCUGACAGUUGGUGCUUAAAGCUAGUGAGGGACAUAAGUGUUUCCAGUUUCAGAGAUUUUUGUAGUUCGUUCCAGUGAUUGGCAGCAGAGAACUGGAAGGAGAGGCAGCCAAAGAAAGAAUUUGUUUUGGGGGUGACUAGAGAGAUAUACCUGCUGGAGCGUGUGCUACAGGUGGGAGAUGCUAUGGUGACCAGCGAGCUGAGAUAAGGGGGGACUUUACCUAGCAGGGUCUUCUAGAUGACAAAUGAAUGAUUGCGCUCCACCUUGUGGAGAAAUAUGACAUUACAGAGAACACUUCUAAAGCUGCAGGUGCCCUGAGAAUUUGAAGGGCUUUUUCUCUUAUACAUAGUUAAAUCGGAUUUGACAAAUGCCCAAGUUAAACACUAAAAUAAGUAAAAGGGUGAUGUGUAUAAAUAUUAAACAUGGUAUUUUUUUUAUGAAUAACCCUCAGCGUGUGGUAGGCCCUUACAGUAGCUUGAUGGAGGCCACAGACACCUUUGCACCAUGGCCCGAGUCUGAGCGGACCCUUCUGCUGGCCAUGUAAUAGCCAUGGAUCAUCAUCUCUGCCCCAGGGCUCAGCUCUGUCUGGAUCCUCUGGGUGUGGGCCAGAAGCUAGGGGAAGGAAGAGAGCACAAUGGUCCCCGAGCAUGCAGACGCCCCCAGUGGCCAGCAGGGCGGAGCCAGCGUGGAUGUUAGCCGUUCCCGCUCCAUGUUCAUCACGAGAAAGAGAGGCAAACAUCUCCCCUGUUGCAGGGUGUCUCACCCCACGGCCAGCCAGACCCAGGCUGUACGUCAUCAGCCUAAGACGGGGGUAACGGAGUCUGGCUCUCAACUAUUUAUUUAUGCUGUUGACUUGAAUAUAGGCAUAGUAUAAUUUUACUGUAGUAAUGUUAUUGUUUUGGCCAUUGUAUUGUGCUUCCUAAGAACAUGAUUGAUUGACUGAUUCAGA